This 253-nucleotide ribosomal RNA is filed under the name uncultured bacterium. RNAcentral's name for it is "partial 16S ribosomal RNA". It matches the Rfam family "Bacterial small subunit ribosomal RNA", at positions 524 to 776 of the family's 1533-position model. The record is from RNAcentral.
UACGUAGGGUGCGAGCGUUAAUCGGAAUUACUGGGCGUAAAGCGUGCGCAGGCGGUUUUGUAAGCCAGAUGUGAAAUCCCCGGGCUUAACCUGGGAAUGGCAUUUGGGACUGCAAGGCUCGAGUGCGGCAGAGGAGACUGGAAUUCCUGGUGUAGCAGUGAAAUGCGUAGAUAUCAGGAGGAACACCGAUGGCGAAGGCAGCCCCCUGGGUCAAGACUGACGCUCAUGCACGAAAGCGUGGGGAGCAAACAGG